Molecule: long non-coding RNA, 761 nt
Organism: Felis catus (domestic cat)
Lineage: Eukaryota; Metazoa; Chordata; Mammalia; Carnivora; Felidae
Exons: 3
Source: RefSeq, a predicted model, not a curated record
CCGAGGAGGUAAGGCUCAGGGCUCACACGGUUAAAGCUGAGCGUGAGUUGAGGGAGGUGAUAGGUGCUGCGUGGAGUUCAACUACGUGAGGAAGAUGGUCUGGAAAAAUGAAGCCAAGGAGAGAGAAGCGUGACUUACAAGGCUCUCGCUAUGCAUACAGAUGACUGACUCUUCAUUACAACCCUGUAAGGAUGAAAGGGCUUUUGCACAGUAGCCUGAAUCAUCCAGGUGGGCCCAAUCUAAUCCCAUGAGACCUCAAAGAUGGCGGAGGAGGGAUUCAACAUGAGAGAUUCAACUCACCAACACUGGCUUUGAAGAUGGAGGCAGGAAACCAAGGAACGGGACAACUUCUAGAAGCUGAGAAACAGCCCUCAGCUUACAACCAAGAAGAAAGCUAGGGCUUUGGCCCUAUAAUCGCAAGGAACUGGCUUCUGCCAACUCAAAUGAGCAGGAAGGUAACUCUCUCUUGGAACCUCAGAAAGGAACACAGCCCUGCUGACAUCUUGAUUUUAGCUCAGUGAGACCCAUUUUUGGACUUCUGACCUACAGACCGGUAAGAUAAUAAAUUUGUGGGGACUUUUUUUUUUAAUGUGUAAAAAAACACAUUCACAAAAUUUACCAUCUUAACCAUUUUUAAGUGUGCAGUAUAGUGGUGUUAACUAUAUAUACAUUGUCAUGCAACAAAUCUCUAGAACUUUUUCAUUUUGCAAAACUGUAACUCUCCUCUUUGAACAGAAGCCUCCUCCCUCCUCAUUUUCCCC